AAGAUACUAGUAAAAUAGCUAUUACACUGCUUUGUCAAGGCAGAGUCGUGGGUUAAAACCCCGCGUAUCUUG
RNAcentral lists this transfer RNA (72 nucleotides) under Etheostoma variatum (variegate darter). RNAcentral describes it as "tRNA-Asp". It matches the Rfam family "tRNA". Rfam says of the family: Transfer RNA (tRNA) molecules are approximately 80 nucleotides in length. Their secondary structure includes four short double-helical elements and three loops (D, anti-codon, and T loops). Further hydrogen bonds mediate the characteristic L-shaped molecular structure. tRNAs have two regions of fundamental functional importance: the anti-codon, which is responsible for specific mRNA codon recognition, and the 3' end, to which the tRNAs corresponding amino acid is attached (by aminoacyl-tRNA synthetases). tRNAs cope with the degeneracy of the genetic code in two manners: having more than one tRNA (with a specific anti-codon) for a particular amino acid; and 'wobble' base-pairing, i.e. permitting non-standard base-pairing at the 3rd anti-codon position. The record is from RNAcentral. Lineage: Eukaryota; Metazoa; Chordata; Actinopteri; Perciformes; Percidae.